This is a long non-coding RNA of Oxyura jamaicensis (ruddy duck), 447 nucleotides long. RefSeq lists it as uncharacterized. The transcript is spliced from 2 exons. Lineage: Eukaryota; Metazoa; Chordata; Aves; Anseriformes; Anatidae. The record is from RefSeq and is a predicted model, not a curated record.
AGAGCGGGCCCGGUGCCGAGGGGUGGCAGCAGGGGGGUGGCAGUGACGGGCCGGGCAGCUGCAGUCCGGCGGUGGCUGCAACGAGGAGGGCAGCACUCAGCCUGCCGCCGCCAUGUGGGGCUUCCAGGGGGGCUCCCGGCUGCUGGCCACCAUGCUGCGGGCACCAAGGGUCCCCCGGGCGGGGGUCACCUCCAAACCGCCUGAACACCCGAUUUCUGCUGCUGAGCAAGCCAUCGCGCUAGCUGUGAUGUUUACAUGCUUCCUGGCACCAACAGCCUGGGUCUUGGCACACGUGGAGCACUACAAGAGCAGAGGAGAUUAAGAAGUGGCCAGAACGACCUACACCCCCGGGAGCAGAAGUGUAAGCGAAGAUCAGAUCACUGAACAGAUGUUCACCUGGGAAAGAACACCGAGUUUCUUCAUUAAAAUUCACGUUUGCAUUAAACA